AUAGUUGAUCCGAUCUAGCCAUAUCCAUCUGUCAAUCCGUCCGCCCGUCUGUACGAACAAAGAUCUCAGAACCCAUAAGAGCUAAUGACUUGACAUUUUGAAUGUAGGUCCUCCUAGGGCCCGCGCAGUUCGACUUUAUUUCCGAUAAGUCCAUAACUUGCCCCAUUUUCAAGUAAUCCAUAUGAAAAUUCUGUUUAUUGAGUAAAUCUAGCAAGUUCUAAGAGAAAGAAAAUCCGAAAUUGGCAUUUAGCUACUAGAAUAGUAUAUAUAUAUAUAUAUGUCGAAGUCUGCGAAUUAUUCUCCAAUCUAUAAGGCUUUGGAGCGCAGUGUGUUUCGAUGUGUACGUCUCCGGAAGCAACAGAACCCAACGUGCUUCCGUUUCCCUUUUUAUCCCAUCGAACCACACUCGGCGACAAUGUUCCUCGCCCCAACAGUUCUAAGCAAAGCGACAACUUCAACUUGGAAAUGGCAAUUCCCAAUCAUUGUGAACUACCAAAUAUCUUGACAUUCCCAAUAUUAUUAUGACAUUCCACGUGCAACCACAUAGACAUUCCGUAUGCGCCGACACGGCCAUUCUAACUCUAACACGUCCUCGUGUACAAAAGUCCAUAAUUCCAGUUGCCUUGUGCUUCCAUUAUAUUACACGGUCGACGUACUCUGUUAUUUUCCUUUGGCCAGCACUUCAACACCGUUCACCCUAUUGGGGCUCUUCACGUUCUUCAGAAAAUUUGACAUUCUCAAUAUUUUCAUUUUCACUUUCAACUCUAUUAUUAUAAUCAUCACACACAUUUAGCUUCUCGGGUACUUCCCCAACUGGCAAUUAUCUUUAAUUUUUAUGUGCAUAUUUGUAACUUCGUUUAUUGGUUAAGGACUUCAAAAUGUUUCUGUCACCCUCUAAAACCUGCGUUAUUUUAAAAGGACCCUUGACUUUUGGACUUAACUUGGUUUGAUGCCUCUCUUCGCUUUUAAAUAAUAGUUUAAAUAAUCUUUCAAAAAAGAAGCAUUUUUGAAAAAUGUGUCAAUUCGCCCCGAACAUUUCGUGUAUUUUGCGAUGGUUAAUCGAGAUUUCUAUCGAUGAUGUGAAAAAUGUAAAAGUAACGUAAACAUAAAAAUCUGAUAUAUCAAUGAAGGCAAGCGGCAACUUUAAAUAAGAUAGUUAAAAUUAGAAUAAUCCCACUGUCUUUUGAAUUUAAACAUGGCGAAAUGUCGAAAAAAAUACCUAAAAUGGGGCCUUACUUCGAGAACGCAAUUUUUGAGUUUUGGAAGAAAAAUGUUGCGGCGCUUAUGUAAAUUAAAGAAACUUGUCACCUGUUUAUUUAAAGAAGCGGUAUUUUUGCCACUCACAUGUUACCGCCAACCGGUGGAAUACCAAUAGGUGAAAUUGGAAAAUGUGGCAUUUCUUAAACCAGUGGACAGAGACUAUAAUACAAAAUCUCCAACUUUGUAUUUAAGUAAUUUUGCCUUUUAUCAAAUAGUUUUUUGUCAUAAACUGCAGUAACUAAAACAUUCUUUUCAGCCUUUUCUCUUACGUUUGACAAAUCAAUCUCAUUUUCUAUGUCACUAGGUGGAAAUAAUCCUAAAGGGCAUGCUUCCUUUCCCAAUAGCAUUUCUAGAGGAUUUGCCUUUGUCACAAGCCGCCGUUAACAUAUUUUUCAACGUGCUCAUUGUCAGUUCCACUUGGCUAUUAGCUCGACUGGCACCGGUGGCAAUCAAGUGCAAGUUUAUUAUAUGAUCUUAUUGAAAUGUACACAAUUAAAUAAAAUACUAGUUGGUUUAGAUGAUCUCAGUAUUUAUUUAUUUACUUUUCUGAGCACGUUAAAACUGAAAAUUACAAAAGCCUACUUGGUCAUUGUACCUUUUGUAUGAAUGAGUGUUAGUGUGUAUUUCAACACUCAUUCCAACAGAUCUGAACAGAAUCUACUAAAUUUGCUCCCGUAAAACAUCUUCCCUGGUCGGCUAUUAUUCGGUUUGGUACUCCAAACAACGAAGCAGCGGAUUGAAGAGCGAUUUAAGGGUAUGAUAUAGAUAGACAUACUUGGUAAACGCAUCUACUUGAACAAUAACGUACUCUUUUUGGUCACUCUUGCCACCCAAUUUCCCAAUUAUGUCGAUGUGGGUAGUGUGCCAAGAAAUAUAGACUUUCGGGAUUGGAUGCACUUUAGCCUGAGUUUUUCCUGAAGCUGAAGAAUUUUGCAAGUGAUGCAGUUGUCUACAAAUUUUCUGAUAUAUUUUAAAUAUAUAACCAGUAAAAAUCGUAAACUUUAUCGAAUGUCUUUUCGAAACCUUGGUUUAUAACGGCACCACUGGUAAACAGCGCGUUCUGCCAUUUCUCUGUAAAAAAGAAAAAUCUUUCAAUUUACUCACAAUUUUGGCUAUGUCUGAGUCUCGACGCUGUUCAGCAAUUAGCCAAUUGCUUGAAAUUUCAGCCAAGUCUACUCUCUUCUCUUCAAUCGCCUUCACAGCGGAAGUAGUCUUUGGAAAGAUGGGAUUUCUCAACAUGGGCCAUUCUUUUCCCUUCUCUGUACUGAACGUCGAUUGUAAAUGACUGCAAAUAAGCCCACCAGCGCUGUGCUCUAGGGGUCAAGCCUCGUUUAUUUCUUGACGCCUUCAGUGAGUUACAGUCGAUAUAAACCAUAAAGUUUCUACCCAACAAAUAGUGUCGAAAAUGUUUAAUGGCUUUUCAACUGCUAAAGUUUCCAACUAAUACGAGGGGUAUUACGACUCUGCAGUAGUUUUGCUAUAGUAUUCUAUUAUCUGGGGGUUAUUAUUAAUAAUUUUUGUGUAAAAAAAUUGCACCGCAUCCACUGCAACUUGCAUGUGUAUGCAAUUCAAUUGGAUAAUUAGGGCUAAAAAUAACAAGGACUUGUUUAUCAGUAAGAGUAGAAAUAACUUUCUUCCGUAUCUGUUCAUUUUUUGGUUUCCGAAUAAAUUUAUUAUUGUCUGAAGUUAACUGCGAAAAACCCUUAAUAAUAAACUGCCGGAAGUAAGAUGCCAAUCCAAUAAAGUGCAUAAGUGAUGUGACUGACUGUGGAGGCGGAAGAGCAAUCAACGCUACAAUUUUCUGAGGGUUCGGACGAAUUUCACCACCACUAACACUGACGGCUAAAUAUUGAACUGAUAUUUUCAAGAAAGAACACUUUGUAAUAUUAAAAGGAAGGAACCCCAGCCUCUGUCAGGAUAUUUAGAACAAUCUCUAUUUUUUCUAACGCCUCACAUUGUGUUGCCGCAGUUAUCAUAAUGUUCUGAAUCCUUACUUCAGACAUCUAUUGUAAUGUGCGUAAUUGUGACCGGAGUUUGCAUCGGAUUCUGACCAAUUGUCUCCUGCUGAUUCGGGUAAUAUUAUUACCGCAGAAACGGUUAGUCAGGAAUUCUACUAGUAUUGUGGUGUCAUUGUUAAUUUUUUCUUUCUGAAUAUACCUAUUUUGACUUAUA
Drosophila virilis is the source of this 3432-nucleotide non-coding RNA. NCBI's taxonomy places the organism in Eukaryota, Metazoa, Arthropoda, Insecta, Diptera, Drosophilidae. The record is from RefSeq and is a predicted model, not a curated record.